CCUUAUGGCUGAUACAGAUCUUAUCUAGUGUCCCGGAACUAACAAGCAUCUUUAUCUAUUUACUCACAUUCACAGUUGGGGCUAGGGGAGUUUUAUGGUUACGGAGUUAUGCAGUCCCACACUGGGGCUGAAGCGCCCGCCUCAGAACCGGCGGACUGGAUGGCAAUGGCUCAGGCUUACAGGCAGAGUCUGACCAAAGAUUCAAUAGGCAGCUGCCGUUUGCUGAGAGGAAAAACAUGGCCAUGGACGGACCCCUUACCCCAGUUAUUUAUUUGCCGUUGAAAGCCUGGAGAAUCGGCCUGUUCCGAAGAGCACUGAGACCUGUCUGAAGUCAGAAAGCAAGCCAGUGGCAGGGCUGACUCGGCCUAGGACCAGCUCAGGAAAAGGGCAGCUGGGAGCGGGAGAGGAGUUCACCCCGCCGCGGCAGAGGCCCCGAAGGUCACCACACCACGUGCAGAUUCAGACUCCCAAGAGACCUAGAUUUUGUCAGAGAAUUCUGCCGUGGCAUCCUGAGACAAGGAUGAAGACCCAGGGUGGGGGCACUGGAGCCCCAAACUCUCCUUCAGAACAGCUUUGCUUUUCAUGUUUUAUACAUUGGAAUUCACCCAAAGAUACUAUUUGCACAAAGAGAUAUCCUACUAAAAAUGUUUGAAAACCCACUGGACUGCUGUGUCUUAAUUUAAUUUCCUUCUCACUCUAAAAUUUGGAUCUUAGAGUGUCAGGGCAUUUGCAACUCCCUGUCUUUGCUUGGCGCUGGCAGAGGUGUGUCAUAGAGAUGAGGCUGUGGAUCUGUCUCACCUGUCUUCCUGAAGACCAUUUCUACAACUGCGGAGCUGCCGCAUGUGUACAAGGUCUGAAUCCACGGAAUCAGAGCUGAGAAGCUGACAGCUCUUGGGGCAAGUUCCGCAUGCUCUGAUUGCCUCCUCGAAGCACAG
RNAcentral lists this long non-coding RNA (935 nucleotides) under Heterocephalus glaber (naked mole-rat). Its description in RNAcentral is "lncRNA (ENSHGLG00100037271.1)". Lineage: Eukaryota; Metazoa; Chordata; Mammalia; Rodentia; Bathyergidae. The record is from RNAcentral.